This 435-nucleotide ribosomal RNA is filed under the name uncultured bacterium. RNAcentral describes it as "bacterial SSU rRNA". It matches the Rfam family "Bacterial small subunit ribosomal RNA", at positions 30 to 469 of the family's 1533-position model. The record is from RNAcentral.
AUUGAACGCUGGCGGCAUGCCUUACACAUGCAAGUCGAACGGCAGCACGGGAGCAAUCCUGGUGGCGAGUGGCGAACGGGUGAGUAAUAUAUCGGAACGUGCCCAGUCGUGGGGAUAACGUAGUGAAAGCUACGCUAAUACCGCAUACGAUCUAUGGAUGAAAGCGGGGGAUCGCAAGACCUCGCGCGAUUGGAGCGGCCGAUAUCAGAUUAGGUAGUUGGUGAGGUAAAGGCUCACCAAGCCGACGAUCUGUAGCUGGUCUGAGAGGACGACCAGCCACACUGGGACUGAGACACGGCCCAGACUCCUACGGGAGGCAGCAGUGGGGAAUUUUGGACAAUGGGCGCAAGCCUGAUCCAGCAAUGCCGCGUGCAGGAUGAAGGCCUUCGGUGUAACUAGCUUUGUACGUACGAAACGGUAGAGCUCGUAAUACAG